This 811-nucleotide ribosomal RNA is filed under the name Harringtonia lauricola. RNAcentral's name for it is "eukaryotic LSU rRNA". It matches the Rfam family "Eukaryotic large subunit ribosomal RNA", at positions 48 to 882 of the family's 3401-position model. Lineage: Eukaryota; Fungi; Ascomycota; Sordariomycetes; Ophiostomatales; Ophiostomataceae. The record is from RNAcentral.
AAGCGGAGGAAAAGAAACCAACAGGGAUUGCCCCAGUAACGGCGAGUGAAGCGGCAACAGCUCAAAUUUGAAAUCUGGCCCCCCGCGGGCCCGAGUUGUACUUUGGAGAGGACGCUUCUGGCGCGGCGCCGUCCGAGUUCCCUGGAACGGGACGCCGGAGAGGGUGAGAGCCCCGUACGGGCGGCCGCCUAGCCUCUGCGAAGCUCCUUCGACGAGUCGAGUAGUUUGGGAAUGCUGCUCAAAAUGGGAGGUAAAUUUCUUCUAAAGCUAAAUACCGGCCAGAGACCGAUAGCGCACAAGUAGAGUGAUCGAAAGAUGAAAAGCACUUUGAAAAGAGGGUCAAACAGUACGUGAAAUUGUUGAAAGGGAAGCGCCUGUGGCCAGACUUGCGCCCCGCGGACCACCCGGCGCCUCGCGCGCCGGGGCACGCCAGCGGGGCGCAGGCCAGCAUCGGCUCUCUCGGGGGGACAAAGGCCGCGGGAACGUAGCGCCCUCGCGGCGUAUUAUAGCCCGCGGCGCCAUGCCCCCGGGGGGGCCGAGGACCGCGCUCCGGCAAGGAUGCUGGCGUAAUGGCCACCGGCGACCCGUCUUGAAACACGGACCAAGGAGUCAAGCAUUGGGGCGAGUGUCUGGGUGGCAAGCCCGCACGCGGAAUGAAAGUGAACGCAGGUGGGAGCUUCGGCGCACCACCGACCGAUCCUGAUGUCCUCGGAUGGAUUUGAGUAGGAGCCCCGCCGCUUGGACCCGAAAGAUGGUGAACUAUGCCUGUAUAGGGUGAAGCCAGAGGAAACUCUGGUGGAGGCCCGCAGCG